CUACGGAGGGUGCAAGCGUUACUCGGAAUCACUGGGCGUAAAGCGCGCGCAGGCGGGCUGAUAAGUUGGAUGUGAAAGCCUACGGCUCAACCGUAGAACUGCAUCCAAAACUGUCAGUCUAGAGUCUGGGAGGGGAAGAUGGAAUUAGUUGUGUAGGGGUAAAAUCCGUAGAGAUAACUAGGAAUACCAAAAGCGAAGGCGAUCUUCUGGAACAGUACUGACGCUGAGGCGCGAAAGCGUGGGUAGCAAACGGGAUUAGAAACCCUAGUAGUCC
Molecule: ribosomal RNA, 274 nt
Filed under: uncultured bacterium
Lineage: Bacteria
Description: partial 16S ribosomal RNA
Rfam family: Bacterial small subunit ribosomal RNA
Source: RNAcentral